RNAcentral lists this long non-coding RNA (1220 nucleotides) under Salmo salar (Atlantic salmon). RNAcentral describes it as "lncRNA (ENSSSAG00000110887.1)". The record is from RNAcentral. Lineage: Eukaryota; Metazoa; Chordata; Actinopteri; Salmoniformes; Salmonidae.
UGGAGGGGGAGUGAGGAUGGAAGAGAUGAGGACUGGCCAAUACAGUGCCUUGACUAUUGGUUAAAGGUUUCAUACCGUUCUUUUUCUCCGUCCUUCCCCCAAACAAUUACAUGAAAAGACGCCCUCCAGUACUGCAGUAAUUAAAUGUCCUCAUUAACUAAUUGAUUGUCUUGAGGUUAUUGAAUUUCGUAUUGAAUUCCGGGUGUUUGUGUGCCAGUGUGUGUCUGGCUGCUUUAACAGGGUUGCAUCAGAUACUCUAUGUUGUUAUGUGGAUGUGUGCUGUUGUCUAAAAAUAACAACUUGAAAAAAAAAUGUCCAGGUCAGGAGACGAAGCGUUGAGAAUGUCAUUUGUUUGGUAUGAAGGGAAACAUUUUUAAUUGAGAUAAUUGAAUGUACCUUGGUAGUACUGUGCACCUUCAUGUUUCAGAUACCCAGUACACACAUGUGCAAAACACACACAUGCAUACACAAACACACUCACAUCACGCCACCACACAUUAUGCUAUGGCCCGUGGCCUGCACACACCAAUACACACCUGUUGGUGGUAUCAAAGAAGCGACCACCUUAAGAGAAGUGAACGAUAACCCUGCAUAUAUUAUGUGUAAUUUGACUCGUUUUCCCCCUCAAUGUUAGAGAAAUAUUAUGAAAGCUAAUCCAAGCCUCUCCUCUCUCUCCCCUCCUCCACAUUCUCAUCUGUCCAGGAUAGUGAGGUAUGGGAUGGAGGGAUUAAUUCUCUUCCAUUGGCCAUGGGAAUGAUAGAUGGACAGAUGUGGGGAGAAGAAAGAGAGGGGCAAAGGAGAGAAGGGAAGUCAAGAGGUCCAUAAAUCUGACGGGAACCUGGUCUGCGUCACACAUUAAGAUCUCCCAGAGCCAUGAUAACCCAGGCUAGAAAUGCUCAGGUGUGAGGACGGAGGCUAUAGCAGAACCAGCCGGUAGAUCAUACUGUUUACAGUUGUGCUUACAAGAGUGACUGUUGGUUCCAUUGAUAGUGGGACACCUCUCUCCUUCCUCCCAAAGUGUGCACUUGUUCACAUUCCUUCACUGAUUUGAAAGAAAAUGACUGGAAUAUAGAAAUAUGGUGAAAACCCUCUAACCCAUGCCUCGACCAAUCCAAUGCCUUUAGAUUUGUGAGAAGUAGUGAACGUGUGUACACUUCAGGAGACAUUAUCAGGAAACAGCCAUUGUGUAGUUCUACGGUGCAGCGGAGUGGAGACUGGAG